GGCAAAGGGCAGCGGGAGAAGCUGGAGCUGGUGGCCUCGUUCUCGUUUUUUGGGAAUGUCAUGUCCAUGGCCAGCGUCCAGCUGGCCGGAGCCAAGAGGGACGCGCUGCUCCUCAGCUUCAAGGAUGCCAAGCUCUCGGUGGUGGAGUACGACCCCGGCACCCACGACCUCAAGACUCUGUCCCUGCACUACUUCGAGGAGCCGGAGCUGCGGGACGGCUUCGUGCAGAACGUGCACACG
This is a non-coding RNA of Lonchura striata (white-rumped munia), 240 nucleotides long. The record is from RefSeq and is a predicted model, not a curated record. NCBI's taxonomy places the organism in Eukaryota, Metazoa, Chordata, Aves, Passeriformes, Estrildidae.